UUCUACGACAAAGUAAAGGAAACGCUGAAAACUUGAACCUGCUUUUCUUCAGCUGCCGCGGCCCUCUAACUAGCCUGCUUGUUUUCUUUCUCUGCUGGUCCCUGUGCAGGCUUCUCUCUCUAUCUCUCUCUCUCUCUCCCUCUCCUUUUCGUCUCCCUCUCUUUCUCUGGGCUGUCUGUAAGAGGAUCACUUUGUUUCCGUUGCCUUUUUCCGCGGUGCUGCAGACACACAUUGAGGGGAGGAUUGGAUUUGAGGGGAUACUGACGGGGUUGCACAGCUGCAACAGUCCCCUCCAUCUCCACAGCAGGACUAAUACCCCCCUCCCUCCCUUUCUCUCUCUCUCUCUCUCUCUCUCUCUCUCUCUCUCUCUCUCUCUCUCUCUCGCUCUCCCUGUCUCUCUCUCCCUCUCGCUCAGUCUCUCUCUCUCUUUCUCUCUCCCCUGUGUGUUUGACUCUCCCUCUGUCGCACUUUCUGCUUCUGCCGAUCGAAGGGGUGGGGGUGCCAUAUGGGAGCUUAGAAAAAUGGAAGUUGAUCGGAGCAAGACAAGAGAGGAAUCUCCCAUUCUUGGGCUCAGAUGUCGGGAUCUAUGUGAGAGAUGAUCUAAAAAGCCAGGCAGCGAAACCCAAUGAGCAAGACACAUCUGCGAAGGGAGCCCCGGCAGUUGUCUCUCUUUCCCUGCGCUCAGAGAGUGAUGAGGAGGAAGAGGAAGAAGAAGGUUAGAGCGGUGGGGGGGGGGG
Pleuronectes platessa (European plaice) is the source of this 737-nucleotide long non-coding RNA. RefSeq lists it as uncharacterized. Lineage: Eukaryota; Metazoa; Chordata; Actinopteri; Pleuronectiformes; Pleuronectidae. The transcript is spliced from 4 exons. The record is from RefSeq and is a predicted model, not a curated record.